AAGCCGUAAGUAAAUAGUGGCUCCAAUGAAUUCUAAAAGGCCACCCAACAGGCAAAUUCACAUUUCGACAGUUUCGGUCUAUUUGAGAUCAAUGAGACAAUGGAUUGCAUCAUUUCGAGCUGAUGAGAUUUACUCAUAAUAGUGCCAUUAAUAAUGCAUUUGUAGCGACCUAGAGCCACGCCUAAAGUUGGAAAACCGGCAUCGGCGCAAAGCAGUCCGCCAACAUUUAAGAAAGUAGGAAGACAAAGAACUAACCUAACUUACCGAAACACGAGGUAGCUCGCUCCUUACAGAGCACAUGUUGCAGAGAAGGAUUUUCAAAAACUUGAAAAACGAAUGGAGAAUCCUUAGAAACUCUGAUUUUCGCGAGAUGAAGACGAAAUCUCAAUAACAUUCUUUUGGCUAAAUGUACAAGCUGAGCAAUAUCCAGAUGGCACUAUGGUGUAUCCUGUGCUCGCCAAGUUUGCAUCAUUCCUCUGCAGAUGCAGAAAAGAAGUUUUUGCAAAUUAAUUUGUUGAAAAGGACGCAGAGAAAUCUAUUAUGCACCAAUAGUAUUGUUGGUCUAAUGUAUUCGAAAGAGUACAUAGGUUGCAUAGAAUGCUUCAAUUUAAAACUUGAUAAAACGCUCUUGGAAUAUCGUAAUAGUAACAUGUACAAAAGGUCUGAUAGCUUUUCUGACUCAGAACGAGUUAUUUGAAUCAAUUGAAAAAUAAGGCAUGUUUUUUUUUUCAAGUUAUAUUUAAAAAUAUAAUAUUUUUGUCAUAAUUUAUUUUUUAGUUAGGUAAAACUUAUGUACAAAAGAAUGAUUAAUUUUAAUUGCUCGUUUUGGUAGCUAUCUUCUCAUUUGACAAGUUUCGACAGAGUAGUACAACUCGGUUAUUUAAUUUUAAUAUUAUGUAAAUUGAGUUAUUAAUAAGAUAUUUUGUUCAAAA
This is a long non-coding RNA of Dendroctonus ponderosae (mountain pine beetle), 932 nucleotides long. RefSeq lists it as uncharacterized. Lineage: Eukaryota; Metazoa; Arthropoda; Insecta; Coleoptera; Curculionidae. The record is from RefSeq and is a predicted model, not a curated record. The transcript is spliced from 2 exons.